RNAcentral lists this transfer RNA (73 nucleotides) under bacterium. RNAcentral's name for it is "tRNA-Ala". It matches the Rfam family "tRNA". From Rfam's summary of the family: Transfer RNA (tRNA) molecules are approximately 80 nucleotides in length. Their secondary structure includes four short double-helical elements and three loops (D, anti-codon, and T loops). RNAcentral also lists the same sequence under 1 other name. The record is from RNAcentral.
GGGGCAGUAGCUCAGCUGGGAGAGCGCCAGGUUCGCAAUCUGGAGGUCGCCGGUUCAAUCCCGGUCUGCUCCA